AUACCUUUCUCGGCCUUUUGGCUAAGAUCAAGUGUAGUAUCUGUUCUUAUCAGUUUAAUAUCUGAUACGUGGGCCAUCGGCCCACAUGAUAUUAAAUUUAUUUUUCUGAGGGGGAGGGCCCAUAAAAUAGCUUGCUAUUGGGCCUCUCGAGCGUCGCCCUAGUAUGGCACUAUAGCUUGGGCCUGGCGCACCCUUA
RNAcentral lists this small nuclear RNA (196 nucleotides) under Cucumis sativus (cucumber). RNAcentral's name for it is "snRNA U2". It matches the Rfam family "U2 spliceosomal RNA". From Rfam's summary of the family: U2 is a small nuclear RNA (snRNA) component of the spliceosome (involved in pre-mRNA splicing). The record is from Rfam by way of RNAcentral. Lineage: Eukaryota; Viridiplantae; Streptophyta; Magnoliopsida; Cucurbitales; Cucurbitaceae.